CCUACGGGAGGCAGCAGUGAGGAAUAUUGUUCAAUUUCCUAUAUUCUUACCCCUCCCCUUCUCUUUCUUGAAGAAUUUCCUAUUUAUUGUAAACCUCUUUUGUCAGGGAGCAAAGUCACCCACGUGUGGGUGUUGGAGAGUACCUGAAGAAAAAGCAUCGGCUAACUCCGUGCCAGCAGCCGCGGUAAUACGGAGGAUGCGAGCGUUAUCCGGAUUUAUUGGGUUUAAAGGGUGCGUAGGCGGGUUAUCAAGUCAGCGGUAAAAUCGUGGAGCUCAACUCCAUCCAGCCGUUGAAACUGAUGAUCUUGAGUGGGCGAGAAGUAUGUGGAAUGCGUGGUGUAGCGGUGAAAUGCAUAGAUAUCACGCAGAACUCCGAUUGCGAAGGCAGCAUACCGGCGCCCGACUGACGCUGAAGCACGAAAGCGUGGGUAUCGAACAGGAUUAGAUACCCCAGUAGUC
Molecule: ribosomal RNA, 459 nt
Filed under: uncultured bacterium
Lineage: Bacteria
Description: partial 16S ribosomal RNA
Rfam family: Bacterial small subunit ribosomal RNA
Source: RNAcentral